UCUAAAUUAGAUAAUUUGACUAAAGGCACACAUGAUUGUGUGCCCUCUUCUGCUGCAAAUUGUAUUGAAAAUGAUGCUUGAACGUUCCACAUGCCAGAUGUAACUUUGUUUUCUUUACUAAUUUCUUACUUGGAAGAUGGAGUUAUAAAACAUUCUCCCUUAACACCCCAGCAGUGGUUCUUAAUUUGACUGGGACCCACAACAGCGGUGAAUUAUUCAGAAAAAUGAUUUUAAAAGUUUUGUCCUCUUCAGUAUUACAGCUGAUGUAACUAAAUCGUUAUAGAUCUGAUUGUGAUUAUGCUCGCUGGGACAAAACAUUUGGUACAUAAUUUUCCAGUGUGGCUCAGGAUGGGGAGAGGAAGAGUAAAUAAUAAUAAUAAUAAAAAAAGGUAUUACAAGAUCUAUUAUUUAGAUUGCAAUUACAGGGAACAAAACAGAAAGUGAGUAAAAUAAAAAGUGAACAUGUGAUGUUUCAGCAGUUGGAUCUUCAACCCUGAAGGUGUCACCUCAGUUUAAUUAACUCCAAGGAGGAGGCUUGCCUAUUGCCUCCUUUUCUCUAUUCUUUAUUUAUUUACAGGUCUGUUGGUUGCUGAACGUGGAAGCAGAUGGCUUGGUGGUCAGUGUGACGUCGAGUAUUGAACCCAGGGCGUGAUGGAUGAGUGUUUGGAGCUGAUAUGGUGGACAUGUUAAAGCACCCAUCGACAUACAAUUGUGAUUUUCCUGGACAUUGAACACCUGUGGGCUGUUUCACCCCACCAGCAGGUCCACCUGGUAUGGAGCAACAAAGUCCUGACAUGACCUCACCUCCACAAGGUCAGUACCCCUACAAGGGGAUAACUCGUCUGAUGACACACCCCUGAGCAUGGCCAGCUGCAUGAGCACUGCAGACUCCGAGCUGUCAGCGGAAAAGACUGCAUGAACUUUUGGUGGACACUGGAGCCACAUAUGGGCCUCUGAGUUGUGGACUAAGAUACUGAGAGAAGAAACAGUGUCUGCCCUUGUGAUCUGAGGGGGAGAAAGCAUUGCUAGCAUCUAUGGAGGACUGAGAACAGAGCCUGCUACAACUGGUGUUCUCUCCAGCUAUGGAAGAUGCAACGUCUGGGUUCCUGCUCUUCUUCCCACCUGACCCGCCACACGUCACUCUACUGCACAGACUGGUAUCAUGAUUCUUUAAGGUAAAACACAGACAGUCAUUCUAGGAAUAUGUAUGUGGCACCUGAGCGUUUGGCAGCUGCUACUGCUGAACAAUUUAUAACGAUAUAUGAUGUCGGAUGAAACGAUUUCACACAUUUCUCUUUCUCUCCAUGUUGAGCACCAGAAAGAAGUAGGGGCGUGGUUAAACAUUCCCUUCAGGCAACUGAUUGGGCUCCUACCAGCGUGCAGGAUGCACUCUCUGACAGGAAGGAGUUUUUCGGGGUUGCGACGUCAACCUCCCAGGAUUCACAGGUAGCACACGAAAUUUGACAUCUAAAGAUUGUUGUGUAGUUUCAGAUUAUAUUGGAGAUUCCUAAGGAAUGUGAAGGAGGGUCCACAACCCCCAGACCUCGGCUGAGUGCGCGCUAAGGUCAACGAAGGACAGAGGUGAGGGUUGUGAUUUAGGGUGCUCUGACCAGAGUGCGGAGCCGUGAGGUCCCACCACAGGGUGCCAAAGGAAACACCGAGACCAGCGCAGAACCAGAGUGGGAAAGUCAUGAAAAGAAAGUGGUCAGAACCAAGGUGGACCAGCCCGUACCAGAUGGUGGAACGCACUUCGCACGCGGAAGAAGUGGGCAGUGAGCUGCUCUCCUGCUCCAGAAAAAAAAAGAAGAAAAAAAGCAUAAAACAGAAGAGGCAGAAGAAGUAGUUUUUACCUGACCACAUGGUGUUGUAGCAACUCUUACACUCAGAGAGAAGAAGAAAACCAAAAAGAGACUCAGAGAACUAAAAAAAAUAAUUUUGUUUUUAUAUAUGUAUUUUUGCAUUUCUUGUUGAAAUUUGUGUGUUUCUCCACAGGUGUUUUUCCACAGGGGUACUAAAAUAGCAUUAACCAAACCCCCUAAGGGUUGUGUUGCAGGCAAAUGGCUAUAUCUGGAUUAUACUAAUAUUGUGGUGGCCAUAGGCAGUAAUAAAAGCAUUAGAAGGAUUGCGCACGCUCUCAGAAACUAUGCACGAGUACUCCGGAAUCUCUAACCCAUUCGAGGGGUGGAUGACUGGUGAGUUUGGCAAGUGAAAAAGUCUGAUCAUCUCUUUUUAUAUCACUUGCAGCAUUUGUAGCAAUAUUGAUUACAUGCGAUUGUUGUUGCACGCAAUGCAUUUGCUCAUUGACGGUCCGCCUCAUAUCCUCCACCAUUGAGAAACAGAACCACAGAGUUAUGAUGCCUUUGUUAGUCACAGUACCUGAGGAGGAGAGCGAGGACACUGGGUUUGAGCUGAUGCAUGUAUAAGAUUUAACCAGAAGUAUUACUGUUUUUGGGAAAAUAUGUGUUUUUCUUUUAUUACUUAUUACCAUUACAAUAUAAUCAAGUAUUUACCAAAGGUGUCAUAACAAACCAGGAAAUUUAGGGUUUUCUACUGCAAUAGUUUAUGAGUGAACUCUUAAAAGAGUUCAAAAGGGGGAAUUGUGGAAUGUAUUAACUUUGAUUCAUUUUUUAGUACACAUUUAUGAAGGUAUAACAUGCUUUUAUUGUGCAAUAUAUUUGCUUUGAGGCCUGUCUGUUUAUCAGAAGAAGAGAAUGUGAAUAGGUUCUGUGUAUGAGUAUCAAGAGAACUUUCAAGGCCAGUCCGAGGCAGUGGGAAAGAACAGAAACUCCGGUUCACAUGCAGCUGGAGAAAAUAAUGAGGGAAGAUAGUUAUUAGGGAGUAAGAUAGCGAUAGGAUGUGUGCGUCAUUCAUUGUGUGACUUUGUAUAAUCUAUGUUCUAACUUUAAUAAAAACCAGCCUGAGCGGGAGAGAGACGAGAGUUGUUGCCCGGAAUCGGCAGGUGUACCAUCUCUCCCCUUUGCAAAGGUGAAACUGAAA
Molecule: long non-coding RNA, 2997 nt
Organism: Fundulus heteroclitus (mummichog)
Lineage: Eukaryota; Metazoa; Chordata; Actinopteri; Cyprinodontiformes; Fundulidae
Exons: 2
Source: RefSeq, a predicted model, not a curated record